CUGCGGAAGGUCAUUGU
RNAcentral lists this ribosomal RNA (17 nucleotides) under Lycium pallidum. RNAcentral's name for it is "partial 18S ribosomal RNA". RNAcentral also lists the same sequence under 1 other name. Lineage: Eukaryota; Viridiplantae; Streptophyta; Magnoliopsida; Solanales; Solanaceae. The record is from RNAcentral.